Molecule: unclassified non-coding RNA, 413 nt
Filed under: Myrtopsis sp. MEL 2383644A
Lineage: Eukaryota; Viridiplantae; Streptophyta; Magnoliopsida; Sapindales; Rutaceae
Description: partial external transcribed spacer
Source: RNAcentral
GUGCAUCAAACUGUCAGCUCCCCAUUCGUUUCAGUCUUUCCCCAAGUGAAACUCUUUCCUUGUGGUUGCAUAUGGUAUCCUGUGCUGCUUACCCAUAAAAUGGAAUUCGAUGGAUUAGAUUUGUUGAUCUAACAUGUACCCUUUGGGGUGCAAGGUGGACGUGAUGCGGGCUCUGUGUUCCUGGUGUGCCUAGUGAGUUAUCGCUUGGCUACUAUGGCCCAUAGAGACUCUGCUUGUUCUCUUAGAUACGGAAUAUCACGCGUGGACAUGAGGUAUUCACCUCGAUUUGUCCAAGCACUGUCCCUUGACUCGAAUGACUGCUGCUCCCAUCUUGAUCUUCCCGACCAAGGCCUCGUAAUGGGGCUUACUGGAUGAGGGUUGCUCAUACGGGUGUUGGCAUCAAAGAGGAUUGC